UACAGAGGUCUCAAGCGUUGUUCGGAUUCAUUGGGCGUAAAGGGUGCGUAGGCGGCGCGGUAAGUCGGGUGUGAAAUCUCGGAGCUUAACUCCGAAACUGCAUUCGAUACUGCCGUGCUUGAGGACUGGAGAGGAGACUGGAAUUUACGGUGUAGCGGUGAAAUGCGUAGAUAUCGUAAGGAAGGCCAGUGGCGAAGGCGGGUCUCUGGACAGUUCCUGACGCUGGGGCACGAAGGCCAGGGGAGCAAACGGG
RNAcentral lists this ribosomal RNA (253 nucleotides) under uncultured bacterium. Its description in RNAcentral is "partial 16S ribosomal RNA". It matches the Rfam family "Bacterial small subunit ribosomal RNA", at positions 524 to 776 of the family's 1533-position model. The record is from RNAcentral.